CAGCCUUCCCCUGGGCUCAGAUGUGCCCAAGUUGAGAUUUUGAACUGUAAAUAUAACCGCCUUUACAGUGGUUAGGUAAAAACUGAGCUUAAAUGCGUGAGACAGCUGCUGCAGAUCAGAUGUGAUUGCUGGGGAGGAGGUGUAGAGAGUUAUCUCAAGGUCUGGAAACUCCAUCUGUGUGCAGUCUAUCAUCAGCCCUGGUCUUUAGGAGCUUGGUGUUAGUAAAACAGUGAGUCCAUGCCCAGGCAGGAUGACACACCAAACACCACUCUGCAGCUGUAGUCCCUUAUGUGGGAAACAUUUCUAGCAAUAUACUUAAUCUUUGUUCUUUUCAAUAUGUGACACAGCUGGAGCUGGACUCUUCUGAUAAUAUUUAUGUAGUUUAGGUAGUUAUGUAGAAAAACAAGGGUAAAUUGACCUGGUGCUCUGCUGCCCAGCAAUAAGCAGAAGAGUGACUCAUAUUCUGGAGCUGUAGGUUUGAAUGUGCCAGACCUCCACAUUUUAAGUUCAUUAUAUAUGAAAUGUGUUACAGACGUCGGUUUAAAUCACAGAAAGAUUUUGCCCACCAUCUUUUAGUAUCGAUUCAGUUGAAGCAGCCCAUGGGCUUGUGAAGGCAUAAGCUUCUGCCAAUGAUUUUAGCAGCAGCAGUAUGUUUGGCUUGCUCUGCACUCCAGAAGUCCCAUGUAAGAAGCCAGCUGCAUUGUGUUAACCUGCUUCCAUCCUUUCAGCAACAGCUCUGCUUGAAAUUACAGUGGUUAAUUUCUUUGCAACCAGCUCUCCCAGUUCCCAUUGUGUCAGCAGGAUGGAAAUUGCUGCUAAACCAGCAGCCACAGGUUUGUAAAAACAGUCCAUACUCAAAUGAUUUUGAGGAUCUCCCCAGGAAUAUCCAUACAUAGCAGGGUUUCCUCAGGCUCUCCAGACUAUGAAACAUGCAGUGCUGAAUUAUUCACUCUGGGCCAAGAAGAAAAAUAAGACAGCAUCUCUUACUACACUGUGAAAUAUUAUUACGGGACAGCAGUGGUAUGUUGAACUCCUUAAAAUCCUCUUAGUAUAAACUAACUGAAAGUAGCAAAACAUAACAGUCUUAGCUUUUGGACAUAUACAGUUUAAUUUCAUAGUCUUUUGGGGUUUGUUUUUAAAACUGCA
RNAcentral lists this long non-coding RNA (1146 nucleotides) under Cyanistes caeruleus (blue tit). RNAcentral's name for it is "lncRNA (ENSCCEG00000017748.1)". Lineage: Eukaryota; Metazoa; Chordata; Aves; Passeriformes; Paridae. The record is from RNAcentral.